CUUUGGUGUGCAUUGGUCGGC
This 21-nucleotide non-coding RNA is filed under the name Arabidopsis thaliana (thale cress). Lineage: Eukaryota; Viridiplantae; Streptophyta; Magnoliopsida; Brassicales; Brassicaceae. The record is from RNAcentral.